Small nuclear RNA from Zalophus californianus (California sea lion), 107 nucleotides. The record is from Ensembl. Lineage: Eukaryota; Metazoa; Chordata; Mammalia; Carnivora; Otariidae.
GUGCUUGCUUCGGCAGCACAUACACUAAGAUUAGAAUGAUACAGAGAAGAUUAGCAUGGCCUCUGCACAGGGAUGACAUGCAAAUCCGUGAAGCGUUCCGCUCCAAA